UGCCAGCAGCCGCGGUAAUACGGAGGGGGUUAGCGUUGUUCGGAAUUACUGGGCGUAAAGCGCACGUAGGCGGAUUGGAAAGUUGGGGGUGAAAUCCCGGGGCUCAACUCCGGAACUGCCUCCAAAACUACAAAGCUAGAGGAUGUGAGAGGAUAGUGGAAUUCCGAGUGUAGAGGUGAAAUUCGUAGAUAUUCGGAGGAACACCAGUGGCGAAGGCGGCUCCCUGGCCAAAGACUGACGCUCAUGUGCGAAAGUGUGGGUAGCGAACAGGAUUAGAUA
RNAcentral lists this ribosomal RNA (279 nucleotides) under uncultured bacterium. RNAcentral describes it as "partial 16S ribosomal RNA". It matches the Rfam family "Bacterial small subunit ribosomal RNA", at positions 506 to 784 of the family's 1533-position model. The record is from RNAcentral.